ACGUACGCUGGCGGCACGCCUAACACAUGCAAGUCGAACGAAGUAGCAAUACUUAGUGGCAGACGGGUGAGUAACAUGUAGGUAUCUGCCCUUUGGCCUGGAAUAACACGAGGAAACUUGUGCUAAUACCGGAUAAGUCUUUACGGAGAAAGCUUUAUGCACCAUUGGAUGAGCCUGCACUUGAUUAGUUUGUUGGUGGGGUAAUGGCCUACCAAGACUGUGAUCAAUAGCUGAUUUGAGAGGAUGAUCAGCCACAUUGGGACUGAGACACGGCCCAAACUCCUACGGGAGGCAGCAGUGGGGAAUCUUGCACAAUGGAGGAAACUCUGAUGCAGCGAUGCCGCGUGAGUGAAGAAGGCCUUUGGGUUGUAAAGCUCUUUCGUCGGGGAAGAAAAUGACUGUACCCGAAUAAGAAGGUCCGGCUAACUUCGUGCCAGCAGCCGCGGUAAUACGAAGGGACCUAGCGUAGUUCGGAAUUACUGGGCUUAAAGAGUUCGUAGGUGGUUGAAAAAGUUGGUGGUGAAAUCCCAGAGCUUAACUCUGGAACUGCCAUCAAAACUUUUCAGCUAGAGUAUGAUAGAGGAAAGCAGAAUUUCUAGUGUAGAGGUGAAAUUCGUAGAUAUUAGAAAGAAUACCAAUUGCGAAGGCAGCUUUCUGGAUCAUUACUGACACUGAGGAACGAAAGCAUGGGUAGCGAAGAGGAUUAGAUACCCUCGUAGUCCAUGCCGUAAACGAUGUGUGUUAGACGUUGGAAAUUUAUUUUCAGUGUCGCAGGGAAACCGAUAAACACACCGCCUGGGGAGUACGACCGCAAGGUUAAAACUCAAAUGAAUUGACGGGGACCCGCACAAGUAGUGGAGCAUGUGGUUUAAUUCGAAGAUACGCGCAGAACCUUACCAACACUUGACAUGUUCGUCGCGACUCUAAGAGAUUAGAGUUUUCGGUUCGGCCGGACGAAACACAGGUGCUGCAUGGCUGUCGUCAGCUCGUGUCGUGAGAUGUUGGGUUAAGUCCCGCAACGAGCGCAACCCUCACUUUUAGUUGCCAUCAUUAAGUUGGGCACUCUGAAAGAACUGCCAGUGAUAAGCUGGAGGAAGGUGGGGAUGACGUCAAGUCCUCAUGGCCCUUACGUGUUGGGCUACACACGUGCUACAAUGGUAUCUACAACAGGAAGCAAGACUGCGAAGUUAAGCAAAUCCCUAAAAGAUACCUCAGUUCGGAUUGCACUCUGCAACUCGAGUGCAUGAAGCUGGAAUUACUAGUAAUCGUGGAUCAGCGUGCCACGGUGAAUGCGUUCCCGGGUCUUGUACACACCGCC
Molecule: ribosomal RNA, 1318 nt
Filed under: uncultured Alphaproteobacteria bacterium
Lineage: Bacteria; Pseudomonadati; Pseudomonadota; Alphaproteobacteria
Description: bacterial SSU rRNA
Rfam family: Bacterial small subunit ribosomal RNA
Source: RNAcentral